UCCAGUGGAUGUCAGCUGUGCAGGCCUGUAUCGUGCCUGGGCUAGUGUUACUCUGCUGGGAAAGAAAGGCACUGCUGUUUCGACGCAGGAGUCGCUGUUUUGGUGGCAUCUUGAUGCUCAGCUGUAGUGCCUUGCCCCACUGAGAGUGGACUCUUCCCCCAUCCUUGGGAACAGCCCUAGUCUGUGGGCAAACAAU
Molecule: small nucleolar RNA, 196 nt
Organism: Electrophorus electricus (electric eel)
Lineage: Eukaryota; Metazoa; Chordata; Actinopteri; Gymnotiformes; Gymnotidae
Gene: SNORA74
Rfam family: Small nucleolar RNA SNORA74
About the family: U19 belongs to the H/ACA class of snoRNAs. snoRNAs bind a number of proteins (including dyskerin, Gar1p and Nop10p in the case of the H/ACA class) to form snoRNP complexes. This class are thought to guide the sites of modification of uridines to pseudouridines by forming direct base pairing interactions with substrate RNAs.
Source: Ensembl